GACGAACGCUGGCGGCGUGCUUAACACAUGCAAGUCGAACGGCAAGGCCCUGCUUUCGUGGGGUGCUCGAGUGGCGAACGGGUGCGUAACACGUGAGUAACCUGCCCUUGACUUUGGGAUAACUUCAGGAAACUGGGGCUAAUACCGGAUAGCAUCUCCUGCUGCAUGGUGGGGGUUGGAACGUCUCGGCGGUUGGGGAUGGACUCGCGGCUUAUCAGCUUGUUGGUGGGGUAGUGGCUUACCAAGGCUUUGACGGGUCGCCGGCCUGAGAGGGUGACCGGCGACAUUGGGACUGAGAUACGGCCCAGACUCGUACGGGAGGCAGCAGUGGGGAAUAUUGCACAGUGGGCGGAAGCCUGAUGCAGCAACGCCGCGUGCGGGAUGACGGCCUUCGGGUUGUGAACCGCUUUCGCCUGUGACGAAGCGUGAGUGACGGUAAUGGGUAAAGAAGCACCGGCUAACUACGUG
Molecule: ribosomal RNA, 468 nt
Filed under: uncultured bacterium
Lineage: Bacteria
Description: partial 16S ribosomal RNA
Rfam family: Bacterial small subunit ribosomal RNA
Source: RNAcentral